AGAAGUCGUCUCCGGAGAAGAUGGUGCCGGGGUAGGAGGAGAACACCUGGAUGCUGCCCGGGACGCGGGCAGUGCUGCCAGGUUCGGUGCGGAAGGGCAGCGUGUACUUCUUGAUGACGCGCAGCAUGGACUGGUAGGGUGCCCAGGUGUCAUGAGCCACCAGCAGGUCCCGGCGGCCCGGCAGCAGCUUGAGCAGCGCUGAGCAGGAACCGGAGCCCAGCAGGCGCCGUGGGGCUGAGCGGUUGAAGGCCGCCUCCAGGUCCUCCAGGUCCCCCCCCAGCUGCAGCAGGAGGAAGCCGAAAGGCGAGAGAGAGAUGCGGCCGGCGGGGAGGGCCACGCGCCCGCGGUAGCUGUCCUCCAACCCCUGCAGCUGCAGCAGAGCCAGGCGCACCUGGUGCCAGUAGGCGCGGUCGCGGCCGGAGGCCAUCUGCUCCUCCAUCCAGGCCAGGUUGGCCUCCAGGUAGCCCCGCAGCCGGCGGCAGUACUGCGUCUCGUAGCGGAAGGGCCCGCAGUAGCCCACGGCCGUGUUCAUCCAGUGCAUGUAGAUGAGCUGCUCGGUGACGGCGGCCUCGGCCAGCCCCGCGGCGUACGCCUGCAGGCUGUCGUUGAAGGACGCGUUGGCGGACACCUCGAGGAACGCCCACCCGACGGCCUGGAUGUGGUCGGUGAGCUCGGCCCAAGCGACGGCGGCGGGCUGGCGGCCGGGCAGCACGCGGAGCCGGCCCGAGCCGGGCUCCAGCAGCACGGAGGCGCUGCGGGGCGGAGGGGUCGGGCCGGACGCGACCCCCAGUACCCACGCGGCCACGGCGGCGGCCGCCAACAGCGCCCGCAGCGCCGCCAUCGCGGGAGGGGCGGGGCAGAGCCUGGGGCGGGGGCGUG
This 879-nucleotide long non-coding RNA is filed under the name Gallus gallus (chicken). The record is from RNAcentral. Lineage: Eukaryota; Metazoa; Chordata; Aves; Galliformes; Phasianidae.